GAUGAACGCUGGCGGCGUGCCUAAUACAUGCAAGUCGAGCGAACAGAUGAGGAGCUUGCUCCUCUGACGUUACCGGCGGACGGGUGAGUAACACGUGGAUAACCUACCUAUAAGACUGGGAUAACUUCGGGAAACCGGAGCUAAUACCGGAUAAUAUAUUGAACCGCAUGGUUCAAUAGUGAAAGACGGUUUUGCUGUCACUUAUAGAUGGAUCCGCGCCGCAUUAGCUAGUUGGUAAGGUAACGGCUUACCAAGGCAACGAUGCGUAGCCGACCUGAGAGGGUGAUCGGCCACACUGGAACUGAGACACGGUCCAGACUCCUACGGGAGGCAGCAGUAGGGAAUCUUCCGCAAUGGGCGAAAGCCUGACGGAGCAACGCCGCGUGAGUGAUGAAGGUCUUCGGAUCGUAAAACUCUGUUAUUAGGGAAGAACAAAUGUGUAAGUAACUAUGCACGUCUUGACGGUACCUAAUCAGAAAGCCACGGCUAACUACGUG
Molecule: ribosomal RNA, 497 nt
Filed under: uncultured bacterium
Lineage: Bacteria
Description: partial 16S ribosomal RNA
Rfam family: Bacterial small subunit ribosomal RNA
Source: RNAcentral